This is a non-coding RNA of Podarcis lilfordi (Lilford's wall lizard), 319 nucleotides long. The record is from the annotation of a GenBank genome assembly. Lineage: Eukaryota; Metazoa; Chordata; Lepidosauria; Squamata; Lacertidae.
GGAGUCAUGGGUGAAGGUUUAAGCAAGGAGUGAGCUCUCUCUCCCAGCAGCCUUGCAUGUUUAUUAGCCUUGCGCACAUUACAUCAUGUUGCAUAUACACGUGUAGCACUCGGGUGGAAAACAGCUAGGGUUUGCAUUUCUUAGAAUAACUAUUCUCUACCAGGACAUAACUCCAGACAGCAUGACAGCCGCGUAAGCUUUGCGGUUAGGCAGCUGACAGUGACCCAGGCGUGUGGGGGGAACAAGUCAGCAGAGUCAGCAGAUGUUUCCUCUUGCACAAUCUUGCACAAGGGUGCUAUUUUUCUAUUGCAUCCCCACA